CUGGGUGUAGUUCAGUGAAAGAGGGUGUGUUUACCAAGAACAAGGCCCUGGGUUCAAUCCUCAGCACUAAAA
This 72-nucleotide transfer RNA is filed under the name Marmota monax (woodchuck). RNAcentral's name for it is "tRNA.Gly". The record is from RNAcentral. Lineage: Eukaryota; Metazoa; Chordata; Mammalia; Rodentia; Sciuridae.